AACGAACGCUGGCGGCAGGCCUAACACAUGCAAGUCGAGCGAGGACUUCGGUCCUAGCGGCGGACGGGUGAGUAACGCGUGGGAACGUGCCCUUUGCUUCGGAAUAGCCCUGGGAAACUGGGAGUAAUACCGGAUGAGCCCUUAGGGGGAAAGAUUUAUCGGCGAAGGAUCGGCCCGCGUUGGAUUAGGUAGUUGGUGGGGUAAUGGCCUACCAAGCCGACGAUCCAUAGCUGGUUUGAGAGGAUGAUCAGCCACACUGGGACUGAGACACGGCCCAGACUCCUACGGGAGGCAGCAGUGGGGAAUCUUAGACAAUGGGGGAAACCCUGAUCGAGCCAUGCCGCGUGAGCGAUGAAGGCCUUAGGGUUGUAAAGCUCUUUCAGCUGGGAAGAUAAUGACGGUACCAGCAGAAGAAGCCCCGGCUAACUCCGUG
This 433-nucleotide ribosomal RNA is filed under the name uncultured bacterium. RNAcentral describes it as "partial 16S ribosomal RNA". It matches the Rfam family "Bacterial small subunit ribosomal RNA", at positions 29 to 507 of the family's 1533-position model. The record is from RNAcentral.